UGCUGUAGGAGUGCUGGCCUCCAGCUGUGGCUCCCUGUGGGCACUGACCUGUGGCUGGGCUCCCUGCCCUGACUUUGGACUCGUCCCAUCAGCAGAGACCUGCCCAGUAAUUAGAGGACUGCGUGUGACCCUAGUUGCCCUCACCAGCUCAGGUCCUGCCCUGUAGAUUGGCUUCCUGCCUUGUCCUUGGACCUGCUUCACCACCGGGGACUUGCCUGAUCCGACUCUUGGUCAAAGCCGACCACCACGUCCAGGUCUGCGCUGCUCAGACGUGUUCCUGGAGGUUGUUCCUCCAGGAGCGUGUGACUGCAGGAGCAGGCAGGACCCACACGCUGCUGCGAGAGCUGCCGGGCCAGGACGGAGACCUGCAGGGGUUCAGCCCAUGCCCUGGCCUGGGGACGGGCACGGCUCCUCGUCUGGCUGCCACGCUCUCAGRGAGGCACAUGCCAGGAUCUCAGGCCUCUGAAUAAUGCAGCGCUUCCCUGCGUUUAUGUAACAGUGCUAUUUUAGUGGAGGCAGCAAGACAGAGUGUGGCAAGCAGAAGCUAUGGCAGCGAGUGAGUGAGGCUGGAGGAGUCGCACGGGCUGCAGCAGCAGUGAGCGGAGGACACGGUCACCGCUCCUGCGGCUCCACGACACCGCAGCCCGAGAACAUUCAAGGAGGAAGAAGAAAGUCUUGUCUGCUCCACCAGACCUGACCCAGGCUGGGUCCCAGGCACCAGCUGGGCUGGUUCCUUCCAGCUCUGGUCAGGAGAAACAGGCUGGUUGCAGCCCCAUCCUUAAAGCUGCUGUGGUCGCAGCAUGGCAGGGGAGAGUGAUCCUGGGCUAGCCCAGAGGAGCAGCAGAAACCUCAUCUGCUCCAAAGAAAAGGUUGUGAAGCUACAUCUGUAUGGCUCAAAGUCUGCAGGGAGGGCCUGUUCUCUGGCUCCUAACUCACUAUCAAGCAUCAUGGGUGUGCUGGGUGCUCUGUACCUCAUGGCUUUCCCUGGCUACCUGGUGGAGGAAUUUGCGUUUUCUUUGAAUAUCUGCACCAGAGAGGAAUUUGGACUAGGCAUCUCUGCUUUUCAGCUGGCAGAAUUCAAGCUAGAAUGAAAAACUGUUCUACAUUUGAAUUCAGAAACAGUAUUUGAUUACAAGCUAGACCAGAAUGAAAAUGUGAGGGGUGCAGAGCUUCUCCGUGUGCUGCUGUUUGCAGGCUCUGUUUCAUGCCUCAUUUGCUAGGUGCAAUCAGGCUUCGUUCUCUAUGCUCAUGACAGAGAGCCCUUUGCUAGCUCAAGCUCUGGGUGCAGCUGAACCAUUUGACUUCUCAAUGCCA
This is a long non-coding RNA of Nothoprocta perdicaria, 1314 nucleotides long. RefSeq lists it as uncharacterized. NCBI's taxonomy places the organism in Eukaryota, Metazoa, Chordata, Aves, Tinamiformes, Tinamidae. The record is from RefSeq and is a predicted model, not a curated record. The transcript is spliced from 2 exons.